Long non-coding RNA from Pseudophryne corroboree (corroboree frog), 1032 nucleotides. RefSeq lists it as uncharacterized. NCBI's taxonomy places the organism in Eukaryota, Metazoa, Chordata, Amphibia, Anura, Myobatrachidae. The record is from RefSeq and is a predicted model, not a curated record. The transcript has 3 exons.
GUUCAGAGGUCGGGUGAGGAAGUGUCUCUGCAGCAGGUCCGUGUCUGGCAUGCUGGAGGGGGGAUGGCUGGCCGGCUGAUCAGAGAACUCGGACAGACAGCUCCAGUGAUGAGGAGGGCACAGCUGCGGGCAGCCAGAAAACAAAGAGCCUUAUGUACACCUGGUGCGGAGGUGCAGCCCUGCCCCACCCCCAACCCGAUCGCAGGCCACGCCCAUGUUCCCCUGGACUACGCGGAGAACACCAGAGGAGCGGAACCCAUAACUUCUACUGAGGCUGUCUGUCCGUCCUGUGUGAGCUUGCAUGGAAGGAGCAACGGUGGCUGGGACCCGGGAGCUGCAUUAGAGGAGGUCAUGUGACUUGAAAAUGACUCCGAUUGGCCAAAUCCGUCAGCUGACGCUGGAGGAAGAUACCAGGACCCAUGACCAGCACCAGCGGGAGACAACAGCUAGUGGACGCCAGCCAACAGCAGACCGCCAUACAUGGAAAGCCACGGACGCCUCCAUCUGUGGCGGAAGCUGCUGAGUAUUCAUGAAAACAGGAAUCGGAUGUUACCCUCUGGCAUAAACACCACUCAAGCAUUUGUGUCCCAAAUAAUAAGACUCAUCAGAUGCACAAAUGGACCCUAAAGGCCAAUAGGGCAAGGACCUAUUAUUUCUUGAACUUGUGACAAAUAUAUAUAUAAUGUCUAUUAAUAAAUAAUAAACUGUUUCUGCAUAUGUGCAUAGCUCCCAACAUAUGAAAAUGCCAAGUCAGGACAAAACAUGCCCCACCCACAAUCUGUCCAAACCCCACCCUCAAUCCAACUAGACACCCAUACCCGCUACAAUUGAGGUCCAUCAAUCAGGACCAUAACAUGAAAAUCUGGGUAAUUGGGAGAUCCAGAAUCAUCCGGUGGCCUACAGCCACUUUCCUCCCUCAGUUACAGUAUGCCUUCUCGUAUAUCGGUCUAAUUUAUCAAGCAUUGUGAUACAUGCAAAACAUUUUACUUUAUUUUACACUUCUGUAAUUAGAUGGAGUGUAGCUAGGAUAUU